CAGGAUGAACGCUAGCUACAGGCUUAACACAUGCAAGUCGAGGGGAAACGACAUCGAAAGCUUGCUUUUGAUGGGCGUCGACCGGCGCACGGGUGAGUAACGCGUAUCCAACCUGCCCAUCACUUGGGGAUAACCUUGCGAAAGUAAGACUAAUACCCAAUGAUAUCUCUAGAAGACAUCUGAAGGAGAUUAAAGAUUUAUCGGUGAUGGAUGGGGAUGCGUCUGAUUAGCUUGUUGGCGGGGUAACGGCCCACCAAGGCGACGAUCAGUAGGGGUUCUGAGAGGAAGGUCCCCCACAUUGGAACUGAGACACGGUCCAAACUCCUACGGGAGGCAGCAGUGAGGAAUAUUGGUCAAUGGGCGAGAGCCUGAACCAGCCAAGUAGCGUGCAGGAAGACGGCCCUAUGGGUUGUAAACUGCUUUUAUAAGGGAAUAAAGUGAGUCUCGUGAGGCUUUUUGCAUGUACCUUAUGAAUAAGGACCGGCUAAUUCCGUGCCAGCAGCCGCGGUAAUACGGAAGGUCCGGGCGUUAUCCGGAUUUAUUGGGUUUAAAGGGAGCGUAGGCCGGAGA
This 570-nucleotide ribosomal RNA is filed under the name uncultured Bacteroidota bacterium. RNAcentral describes it as "bacterial SSU rRNA". It matches the Rfam family "Bacterial small subunit ribosomal RNA", at positions 25 to 582 of the family's 1533-position model. Lineage: Bacteria; Pseudomonadati; Bacteroidota. The record is from RNAcentral.